UAAUUUGUUCUGAUUCUUAUGCUGCAUUAUCUAGUCUUGCAAGUGGAUUAAAAUCAUCAAGGCAAGACAUUAUAUACGAGAUUCUGGCAAGCUUGUUAAGAGUAAGUAAAGUAAGUUUGAUAAAAUUUAUGUGGGUUCCUGCUCAUGUGGGAGUGGAGGCUAAUGAAGUGGUUGAUAAGCUUGCUAAGCAAGCUCUUAAACAUACAGAAAUAGAUAUUCAUGUGACUCUGAGCAAAAAUGAAGUUAAAGGGAAAAUAAAAGAAUUCAUGAAUAACAAAUGGCAAGAGGAAUGGAACUGUGAUAACAAGGGCAGGUUUAUGUAUAAUAUUCAACAGAAAGAAAAUGGAAAUGGAAGAAAUGUUUUUAAGAACAGGAAAGAAGAUACAAUUAUCUCACGCAUUCGAAUAGGACAUACCAGAUUAAAUCAUUCAUUGUUUAAAAUAGGAAAACAAGAAUCAGGUAAAUGUAUUUAUUGUAAUCAGCCUGAAACUAUAGAACAUGUAUUAAUGAAAUGUAAAAAAUAUGAAAAAGAAAGGUUAAAGCUCAUUAAUGAAGUUAAAAACAUGGUUGUUGAAUCAUUCAAUAUGAUAAGUCUUUUGAACGAGAAAGCAGGACAAAGAAGAAUAUAUGGUGUUAUUAUAAAAUACAUUAAAGAAAUAGGAAUAAUUAACAGAAUUUAAUAUACAUAUAUAAUUUUUUUUUUUUUUUUUUUGUCAUUUGCCUAUCAGUGCUUCACACUCCAGUCCAGUCGGUGGCGGUAAAUGCACCAAAAAGUUGGUUUGCCAUCCGCCAUAAAAAGUUAAAAGAAGAAGAAGAACAGCUGCUGGUCACGCUAAAUAUUCACACUUUUCUGGGCGAUGAAAAAUGACGUUUAACGACAUACCAAUCGACACUUGAAAAAGAAAAAUAGAUGAAGUUAAGAGCUUUCUCUCCGUAUCGUUAAGUAUCUCUAAAGCGCACACUGUGAACUUUUACACGAGGGAUGUUUGGAGCAGGUUCAUGUGUGUGAUUCCGGAGGAAGUGUCGUGUGCUAUCAGUUCCUCACAAGACCGCAUGAAGUGCUUUGCAUUGACUGUGUGCGGACUCUGAAAUUGGGAGACAGUCAUGUGGCUCUUCAGUUAUGGGACACUGCAGGCCAAGAAAGGUAUCGCUGCAUUACCAAGCAGUUUUUCUGUAAGGCAGAUGGUGUGGAGGUCAUCUAUGACAUUAUAAUGGAGGACAGUUUCAGAUCAGUCCGCCCCUGGCUGACCAGCAUACAAGAGGCCGUAGGCGACCCUAUACCUGUCAUGAUCCUUUGCAACAAAUCAGGAGAAUGAGAGAGAAGUGCAGACAAAGGAGGUUGAGCAGAGGUGUGGACAUCUCUUAUCAAUCACACAGUAUAUCAUAGUAAAUUAUUAAUAAUA
Molecule: long non-coding RNA, 1403 nt
Organism: Carassius gibelio (silver crucian carp)
Lineage: Eukaryota; Metazoa; Chordata; Actinopteri; Cypriniformes; Cyprinidae
Exons: 3
Source: RefSeq, a predicted model, not a curated record